RNAcentral lists this ribosomal RNA (253 nucleotides) under uncultured bacterium. RNAcentral describes it as "partial 16S ribosomal RNA". It matches the Rfam family "Bacterial small subunit ribosomal RNA", at positions 524 to 776 of the family's 1533-position model. The record is from RNAcentral.
UACGGAGGAGGCAAGCGUUAUCCGGAAUUAUUGGGCGUAAAGCGUCCGCAGGUGGCGAUUCAAGUCUGCGGUUAAAGACUGGGGCUUAACCCUGGAAAGGCCGUGGAAACUGAAACGCUAGAGUGCAGUAGGGGUAGAGGGAAUUCCCGGUGUAGCGGUGAAAUGCGUAGAGCUCGGGAAGAACAUCGGUGGCGAAAGCGCUCUGCGGGACUGCAACUGACACUCAGGGACGAAAGCUAGGGGAGCGAAUGGG